This 944-nucleotide non-coding RNA is filed under the name Rineloricaria sp. 'Ucayali'. RNAcentral's name for it is "partial 12S ribosomal RNA". It matches the Rfam family "Bacterial small subunit ribosomal RNA". Lineage: Eukaryota; Metazoa; Chordata; Actinopteri; Siluriformes; Loricariidae. The record is from RNAcentral.
GGCUUGGUCCUGACUUUACUAUAAGCUUUAACCCAACUUAUACAUGCAAGUCUCCGCAUCCCUGUGAGAAUGCCCUCAAUCCCCCGACCGGGGACGAGGAGCUGGUAUCAGGCACACCCAUAGGCCCAAGACACCUUGCUUAGCCACACCCCCAAGGGAAUUCAGCAGUAAUAAACAUUAAGCCAUAAGUGAAAACUUGACUUAGUUAGGGUUAAGAGGGCCGGUAAAAUCCGUGCCAGCCACCGCGGUUAUACGAAAGACCCUAGUUUAUAUAUACGGCGUAAAGGGUGGUUAAGGAAAAAUAAAAAUAAAGCUAAAGACCCCCUAAGCAGUCAUACGCUCCACGGAGGCACGAAACCCAAAUACGAAAGUUGCCUUAAACAAACUUUACCUGACCCCACGAAAGCUGAAAAACAAACUGGGAUUAGAUACCCCACUAUGUUCAGCCCUAAACCCAGAUGAAAACUUACAAAAUCAUCCGCCAGGGAACUACAAGCACAGCUUAAAACCCAAAGGACUUGGCGGUGCCUCAGAUCCACCUAGAGGAGCCUGUUCUAGAACCGAUAAUCCCCGUUAAACCUCACCACCCCUUGCCUUUCCCGCCUAUAUACCGCCGUCGUCAGCUUACCCUGUGAAGGCCCAAUAGUAAGCAAAAUGAGUUCAACCCAAAACGUCAGGUCGAGGUGUAGCGCACGAGGUGGAAAGAAAUGGGCUACAUUUUCUACCACAGAAUACUACGAAUCAUGCCCUGAAAACAGCAUCUGAAGGAGGAUUUAGCAGUAAAAAGUAAAUAGAGUGUACUUUUGAAUUAGGCUCUGAGGCGCGCACACACCGCCCGUCACUCUCCCCAUUAUCAUCAACACAACAUUCCUAAUAAUAAAACAACAAUACGGGGAGGCAAGUCGUAACAUGGUAAGUGUACCGGAAGGUGCACUUGGAAUAUC